CUAAGGCUCCAGAGGAAGCCACGGCUAACUCUGUGCCAGCAGCCGCGGUAAUACAGAGGCGGCAAGCGUUGUUCGGAAUUAUUGGGCGUAAAGAGCACGUAGGCGGCCUUGCAAGUCAGUUGUGAAAGCCUCCCGCUUAACGGAAGAAUGCCAGCUGAUACUACAGGGCUUGAGUACGGGAGGGGAGAGUGGAACUUCUGGUGGAGCGGUGAAAUGCGUAGAUAUCAGAAGGAACGCCGGCGGCGAAAGCGACUCUCUGGCCCGAAACUGACGCUGAGUGUGCGAAAGCUAGGGGAGCAAACGGGAUUAGAUACCCCGGUAGUCCUAGCCGUAAA
Molecule: ribosomal RNA, 335 nt
Filed under: uncultured Planctomycetales bacterium
Lineage: Bacteria; Pseudomonadati; Planctomycetota; Planctomycetia; Planctomycetales
Description: bacterial SSU rRNA
Rfam family: Bacterial small subunit ribosomal RNA
Source: RNAcentral